Molecule: non-coding RNA, 90 nt
Organism: Glossina brevipalpis
Lineage: Eukaryota; Metazoa; Arthropoda; Insecta; Diptera; Glossinidae
Source: Rfam
GGGGGAAGGUUUAGUACGUAGGCGUCAUGGAUGGCGAAUCGCGCAUGCUAUUGGCACGGCCUAGUAGUAUCUAUGAAGAUUCUCACCUCC